Molecule: ribosomal RNA, 497 nt
Filed under: uncultured bacterium
Lineage: Bacteria
Description: partial 16S ribosomal RNA
Rfam family: Bacterial small subunit ribosomal RNA
Source: RNAcentral
GAUGAACGCUGGCGGCGUGCCUAAUACAUACAAGUCGAGCGAACAGACGAGGAGCUUGCUCCUCUGACGUUAGCGGCGGACGGGUGAGUAACACGUGGAUAACCUACCUAUAAGACUGGGAUAACUUCGGGAAACCGGAGCUAACACCGGAUAAUAUAUUGAACCGCAUGGUUCAAUAGUGAAAGACGGUUUUGCUGUCACUUAUAGAUGGAUCCGCGCCGCAUUAGCUAGUUGGUAAGGUAACGGCUUACCAAGGCGACGAUGCGUAGCCGACCUGAGAGGGUGAUCGGCCACACUGGAACUGAGACACGGUCCAGACUCCUACGGGAGGCAGCAGUAGGGAAUCUUCCGCAAUGGGCGAAAGCCUGACGGAGCAACGCCGCGUGAGUGAUGAAGGUCUUCGGAUCGUAAAACUCUGUUAUUAGGGAAGAACAAAUGUGUAAGUAACUAUGCACGUCUUGACGGUACCUAAUCAGAAAGCCACGGCUAACUACGUG